AUAAUAGUUGCUAUAUUGAAUCCAUAUUAAAAUAAAUCAACGCUUUCUACUAAAGCGUUGUUAUUUGACCAACCAAAAAACAAUUCUAUCUUUUGAAAAAGAAAAUAAAAAAAAAAAAGAAAGAAGCUUCUGAAGAGCACGCGUAAACAAAAUGGCGGUAUUGUAAAUUUUUAAUAACCAAAAAUUUAUUUUCCCCCUUCAUUUUGCGCGGGCAUGAUGAAAAAAAAAACUCAAUAUUAGGGCAUCUUUCUGCUAAAAAAAUACCUGAAUAACCUCAAUCUUAGCUCUCUCUCGUCUGUUCAUGCUAUUCUCCCCUACCUCUAUUUCUUUCUCUGGUAAGAGUUAUUUAUUUAUUUUUUUUCUUGGGUUGAUCCUUCCUCUUUCUCUUCAAUAGGAAAAAGAUUCAGUUGCUUCUCUCAGAUUUUUUUUUUGGUGCUGUUACGACCUGAUAUAUACGUCCAGCGCUGCCUCCAAAUCCGACUCUGGCUCCACCCCUCAACACUCUCUUCGACUCUAUUUCUCUUCUCUACGGGGGCCUAGGAAGUUCGAACAUACCAACAUCUUCUAAUAAAUAUCGUGUUGAAAUCAAUCAUCAUACUAUACCUCUCAACAAAGUAUGAUUCAGAUGAGAGUUUGCACUGUGACUAGCUAAACAUUUUAGCAACGUCUCCUUACUAAAUAUGCGUUAAAAUAAGUGUAUUAGUGUGUAUUUAUAUGUAAUGUACACUUGACAAUUUUGUUUGGAGAAAGCUUUAAAAAAUUUUUUAGUCAAAAUAUUAAUACACAGGCAAAGAUGUAUGUUUAGAUUCUAUGUAUUAAUAUUC
Molecule: long non-coding RNA, 824 nt
Organism: Cannabis sativa
Lineage: Eukaryota; Viridiplantae; Streptophyta; Magnoliopsida; Rosales; Cannabaceae
Exons: 3
Source: RefSeq, a predicted model, not a curated record